GAAAUGCGAUAAGUAAUGUGAAAUGCAGAAUUCAGUGAAUCAUCGAAUCUUUGAACGCACCUUGCGCUCCUUGGUAUUCCUUGGAGCAUGCCUGUUUGAGUAUCAUGAAAUCUUCAAAGUAAAUCUUUUGUUAACUCAAUUGGUUUCUACUUUGGUAUUGGAGGUCUUUGCAGCUUCACACCUGCUCCUCUUUGUUCAUUAGCUGGAUCUCAGUGUUAUGCUUGGUUCCACUCGGCGUGAUAAGUUAUCUAUCGCUGAGGACACUGUAAAAGGUGGCCAAGGUAAAUGCAGAUGAACCGCUUCUAAUAGUCCAUUGACUUGGACAAUACUUUUAUGAUCUGAUCUCAAAUCGGGUAGGACUACCCGCUGAACUUAAGC
RNAcentral lists this unclassified non-coding RNA (378 nucleotides) under plant metagenome. RNAcentral describes it as "partial contains 5.8S ribosomal RNA, internal transcribed spacer 2, and large subunit ribosomal RNA". The stretch from base 1 to 105 matches the Rfam family "5.8S ribosomal RNA", at positions 50 to 154 of the family's 154-position model. The record is from RNAcentral.